GACAGAGGUGGCAAGCGUUGUUCGGAUUUACUGGGCGUAAAGAGUGCGUAGGUGGUUCGGUAAGACCUGUGGGAAAGCCCAGGGCUUAACCCUGGAAGGUCGCAGGUGACUGCCGGGCUAGAGGACGGGAGAGGAGAGCGGAAUUCCCGGUGUAGCGGUGAAAUGCGUAGAUAUCAAGAGGAACACCUGCGGCGAAGGCGGGUUGCUGGGCUGACACUGACGCUGAUGCGCGAAAGCCAGGGGAGCGAACGGG
Molecule: ribosomal RNA, 253 nt
Filed under: uncultured prokaryote
Description: partial 16S ribosomal RNA
Rfam family: Bacterial small subunit ribosomal RNA
Source: RNAcentral